Molecule: long non-coding RNA, 491 nt
Filed under: Ananas comosus (pineapple)
Lineage: Eukaryota; Viridiplantae; Streptophyta; Magnoliopsida; Poales; Bromeliaceae
Description: long non-coding RNA (ACOM_LNC031634)
Source: RNAcentral
GAAAAAUAGUUACACUCCGGCGAGACCGAUGGUUGCGAUAGAGGGCAAGGGAGAGGGCGUGACAAAAAAAAAUUAUAAAGAGAAAGAAAAUAAGAAUAAUAAAAAAUAAAAAUAAAAAAUAUUUUUUUCUACAGGAAAAAAAAUCAUAGAAAAAAAGAAGAUGAUGAAAUUGCAAUGUUAAAAUAAAAUUACAUCGUCUGAAAAAAAUUUUACACUGUUUUAGAUGAAAGUUACACUCUUUGAGACAGAAAUUACACUAUUUGAAAUGAGAGUUACAUUCUUUAGGCAAAAGUUACACUAUUAGGGUGAAAUUUGCACCAUUUUUUUAUUUUCUUCUUCUUCCUCCUCCUUCCCCUCUGUUUUCUUGUCCUUCUCCACCUUCUCCGCCACCGUCACUGUUAAGCGCUCCUCGCGCCGCCGCUCCCUUCUCCGCCGGCGCCACCGCCCCCCUUGAUCAUUUGCUUAAUAAGAUUGAGCUUUGUUGACGAAAC